Molecule: long non-coding RNA, 5789 nt
Filed under: Homo sapiens (human)
Lineage: Eukaryota; Metazoa; Chordata; Mammalia; Primates; Hominidae
Description: HSALNT0313427
Source: RNAcentral
CUUCUUGUAAUUUUGUGCAUAUUUGUUUUAUAUUUAUUUUCAGUGUUGACUUUCUUUUGUUAUCUGUAUAUAAUUAGUAUUUAAGAUUAGGAGAAGAUGAUUUAAUGGUAGUUAUAAAAAUAAGCUCUACUGUAUAGACAUAAACUCUAGUCCUUGUGUGGUUGGCAAGUAUUUUCAAUAUCUGAAGAUACUAGAUUUAAAGCAAUUUGGAGUUACAGGGCUUGUGACAGAUUGUCUUUUCCAAAGACGAGCACAACAUCUCUCAUCUGCAUUGAGCUGUUAUAACUCUUCCAUCAAGAGGUAAAGUUUACUUUGCCACCUACUUGAAUCUGAGACAGCAGCCCCAGACUGCUUUGACCAAUACAGUAUGCAGAACUGAUACUGCCAGUAACAGGCACAGCCCUUAACUGGCCUGGAAACUUGUACUUCCUCCCUGUUGGAAGCUAACCACCAUUUAAUAAGUGUGACUACUCCCACCCAAGCCCAUGUGGAGAGGGCUUGGAGGCUGAGAGGCUGUGCUAGAAACAGAAAGCCCAGGGAAAACAAAAGUGCCAGACCUGCAAAUGAAGAAGCCAAGUUGGAAGCCAAUCUUUCAGCACCAGCUGACCCCAGUUAAUAGCAGAUGGAUUAGAGAUGAACCCCCCACCUGAGUACUUCCUGACUUCCUAACAUAUAAAAAUGUGAGCCCAAUAAAAUAGUAGAGAUUUUAUGCCACGACAUUUUGAGGUAGUUUUAAAUGUAGUAAUCAAGAAUCAGAAUAGGGUCAACAGAGCAUAUAUACCUGCCCUGCUAAAAGGCUUUAUUCUUUUAAAACAUUUGACUGGACAAUGAGAGCCCAUUUUCCCAAUGAAUUUGCUGUAGGGUAACUGUAGGGUUUGCUACUCCUGCUCUGGAACAACAGGAAACUGAAUUCACAUCCCAUAUCUACCAUUUACUUUGUGACUGGACAAGUUACUCAACAUCUUGAAGCCUUACUUUCCUUUCCAAUCAAAUGGGGUUACAGUGAGAAUUUAAUGGUUUAAUGAAUAAAAAGCAUUACCAGCUAUCAAUUUUAAUCAUUUUUUAAUUAUAUUUUUAGAUAUAGUGAUUUAUUUUCUUGGCUAGAAAAAAUGAAAUUGUAUUGCUUCUUGGUUUAAAAUAAUUGCUGACAUUUUUACUAUUAUACUAACCUGUCAGUGACAAUGAGAAUAUCAGCUAGAGAAAGAGAGGAGGUGUUUUUUCCUUUUGCUUGGUUUACAAAGUCAUGUUAUUCAAUCACUGGUUUCUAUAUCUAUUUUUCAUUAUAUAUUUAUUUACUAUAGAAUGCAUACCUGCUCAACAUAUCCUUAAAUAUAAGAUGUUAACAUAUGUCUAUAUUUCCACAUAUGUACAAAUGAUGAAUUUAAUAACUUUUGCAUGGUUGAUAGCACAUAAAGCUUAAAUUACUUUUUGUGUCUUUUAACAAUUGCUUAACUGUUAAAGAUAAUGAGGUUUAUAAUUGCAGUCAUUGUCUUUCUCUAAUUGUACUUUCACAAAUUAGCCUUCAGACCAAAUCUAUUUGAAGCUACUCUUCUACUUUUACUCUUCCCAAUUUAGUCUCUGAAUCUCCCCUACCCCUCUCUCAUUCUUUCUUCUUCGUUUCUUCCUCUCUCCACGUACACAUAUAUGCGUAUGCACAUAUAUGUCUAUGCGCAUACAUGCAAACACACACAUAUUUACGUUUGACUUCUCAGUAUUUGGUCUUUGGGUUAGGAAUCCUACUUACAGCAGUCCACUGAGAUACUAAAUUCCUUUUAUUUCAGUUCCUUAUGACCAUUUGUCUGUCUAAGCUUUGAUAAAAUAUGGCAGGGUUCAGGAUUAUUGGCAGUCUUUUCUUCAGUGAACCCUAAAACUGGAACUUCAUAAAAGUUUCACAUCAGGAGAAACAUGUAGAGUAGAUAUGAGCAGAAAUAAGAUUAGCAACUGCUUUGAAAAUCAGAUUGUUCUUAUUUCUCUGCUAUAUGUGGAGUUCUCUUACUUGUAUGCCCAGGAAGUCUUAAUUUCCUCUGGCAUCUGCCAGCCUGUUUCACCACAUCAUGCUAAUUCAUCCCACUGAAAAAGUUAUAAAACGCAGGAAGCUUAAAUAAGCCCAGGAACUGCGUUCAUCACUCUUUUUAAAAAAUGAAACACAGAAUAUGUUUGCUUUAUUUACAGUAUUGGCUUCAGGCAAAUCAAAUUUAUGUGAAAUAUUAUUGCACCGAAAGGAUGUAAUGUGCAUUUCUUGCAUGAUACUAAAUUUAUCUUUAGGAAACAAAGACAAGUGAAGCAGCAAACUUGCCGAACAAUCUCUGCCACACCAUAUGCACUUCGUGAGUUAAAAAGUUAUGUUUUUAUCCUAAUUAUUUAUACUAUAAAUUCUGGUAUUGCAUCUAAAUUCUAUUAAUUUUCAAAAAGUUUCAUUUCAUUAAUUAGCUUAUGGUAGGACAAAGGGGUUUCACUGUAUCUACAGAUGAGACUUCAUUCCUUGUCUAGACUGGCUGGUGAAAACCUGGCUCCAUCCCAGCCUAGGGGCAGUGACCCAGGUAUAAACUCUGGGUCCAGCAUCCUAAGUAUAAAUCCUGCUCUGUCCCUCAAUUAUUGAGUAAGUUCAGGGUAAAAUGAACAAUGCCAAGCACAAAGAGGGCUAUAAAGAGGUAUAAGACAUAAUCCUUGCCCUCAUGGACUUUCGGGCUAGAUUUUUGAUCAGUAGAUCUUAAGAGCGUGAAAUAUAAGCUUGUACACCUCCCAGAGCAUUACUCAUGUGAGGUGGAAUGGAACAUGCUGAAGGACACAUAAUCCAUGUUUUAAACUGAAGAGGACCCAUAUAGUUAGCUAAGCUUUUAGAAGAACAGGUUGAGCAUCCCUAAUCGGAAAAUCUAAAAUCAGAAAUCCUCCAAAAUCUGAAAGUAUUUGAGCACCAACAUGAUAAAAAUGGAAAAUUCCACAUGUGACCUUAUGUAAUGAGUUUCAGUCAAAAUGCAGGCAUACAACCCACAGUUUAUUCAGCAUUCCCAGGAGAAAAAAGACCCUCCCAGCCUGUUUUCCUAUUCAAUACCUCACCUAUGUUGCUUCUCAGUAGCUGAUCUUGGAACAUUAAUGAUACCAAAGGGGAGUGUUUUAGGUGCAGAUCAAGAUAGCAACUAAAACUUAUGAUAAUUAACUUAGGAACUUAAAUCAGUGAGUGAAUUUCCAGGGACAGUGAGAACACUAAUUCUCUGUGAUUUUAAAAUGUCUCCAUUUGUUAUAUUCUCUGAUUUUUCUUCCCGUAUUUUUAUGAGCAAAGCUUAUAUCAACCCUAUAAAAAUGUUAUACUAGUAUAAGGAAGAGUAACAGAAAGGUACAGUCUGGAAAAGUGAACCCUGGUUCAUUGACUGAUAAGCCAGAGGAACUCAGGACCUAAUAGGCUGCAGGAGAGCAUCAAAAUAGGACAUCAACUAGAUUGCCCCUGCCCCCUCAAAGGUAUACAAGUGAGUACAAGGGCCACUUUAUUUGGUUCAGCAUUAUAAGAAUUAGAAGGGUGAGGUUCCAUGAACCCCCGUUUGUUAUGUAAUGAAGAUGAUUAACUUUCUGGCUUGCUGAGUAAAAUGGUACUCAUAAUAGAAUCAAAACCUUUCCUGAAGGUAAGACAUGCUAUAUUUAUUGCUUCCUCCUUGUCUAUAAGCCAGAACAUUCUCUCACUAUUGUAAUACAAGCUAAUAAGAGCCAAAUAAAUCUCUGAUCCUUUGGCUCACUCUGCCAUUAAACACAAGCCAUUGUAAAGUCAUGAAAAUUACCUGAGAAGGAUGUGGAAAAACUGUUUUUUUCAGAAAAGACCAACCACAGUGAUUAAAGGGAUGAAAAAGAUGACCUGCUUGAAAACUCUAAAGAACCCAGUAUUAUUUGAAAGAAGAGGAAGCUGAAUGCCCUCUGUCCUUCUCUGGAAUAAGAACUAACCUGAACAACAGUAACAACAAUACAAACAGCUAUGAAGAUUAUGUAUAGCUGGAGGCUACAAGCAGAUGGUGACCAAACCUGUCAGAUUGUUUUUUAAAGAUGCUGAGGAGCAGAUUUCUCAUGGGGAGCACCUUCUGAUACAUUUUAAUACGUUUCUUACAGGCUAGUCAAAUAAAGCAGUGGGAGUGGAAAAGGAUCAAAGAAAUCUGUAACCGGUUAUGAUCAAUUAGUUGUAAACACCACUGCACGAGGACCAGCCCAAAGCUGCUACUUAACCAAGUGACUUUCUGAUUGCUCAACUGUGUUUCCACUGAGAAAAAUGCAUUGAAAUGAAACAUCUCAUUUCCAGUACUGUCCUGAGGCAAAAAGAGACAAUGAUACGUAUCUCCAAUUUAGACUGGAUGAAACUAGCCACAUUUCAAAUAAAGAAGUCACAUUGUAAGUGUAAAACGACGUUAACCUUAAAGGAGACAUUUCCGCCCUGUAUAACUAUGCACAGCUUCAACUAAUGGUAUAUGAACUGUGUCUACAAACCAAAGGACAUUUUUCUAAAGAAACUUUAAAUAUAGAAAAUUAACUCAAACCUUACCUUAGAGCUUCCUCCUCUAUUGUCUUUUCCUGUAGUGGUAGUCUCUGUGGCACUUACAGGUGGUAAACAAAUAAAAAAGUGUCUUAUUGAAUUAACUUGAUUGCCAUAUUGAUCAGUUUUAUGUGUUUUUAUUCUUAAGCAUAACAAUAAAAGAAAAUGAUUAAGCAAUGUUUUGCUUAAAAAAAAAAGAUUUCAUGGCAGAGAAGCAAUUGAGUCCAGUUAAGAGACAGUUAAGAACAUUUUUCAGUUUGGAGCUUUUGUUUUGUGAUGAGAACUUUGCCAGUUAGUCACAAAUGAACUUGAGCACAUUUUCUUGAGCGUGAUGGCUGAACAGAUGAGCCACACACACUUUAUAGUGAGUUUUACUGCACUGAGUCUUUACCUACUAUUCCUAGUAGUUACACAUAUUAAAUUAUUAAUAACUGAUCAACAUUUUAAAAGAAGGUUUCAAAAGAAAUGUAAUUAGAUUUUAUAGUUGAGUUUUAGCUAAUGUGUGAUUCCACAAAAGUUCAGGUGCCGAGAUUACAUUUCAAUUUAUACUUGCCAUCUGCUAGAAUAUUCCCCUCUGUCUACAGCAUCCUGACCAGAUCUCCAAAUUUUGAAAUCUGUUUUCAUUAUUCAAGACUCAUUGUACAUUUCAAAUACCAGGUUGAUUUCUUAGUCUCCAUGUUCUCCAUGUCUGCUUAUGACUUUACAGAAAAAAUGUUAUUUACUAUGCAUAUUAAUAUUGAGAUUCUUUACUAUGCUGUAUCUUUUUUUUUUUUUUUUUUUUUUUGAGAUGGAGUCUCACUAUGUUGCCCAGGCUGGAGUGCAGUGGCGCCAUCUCGGCUCACUGCAAGCUUCGCCUCCUGGGUUCAUGCCAUUCUCCUACCUCAGCCUCCUGAGUAGCUGGGAUUCUAAUCUCCGCCACCACGCCUGGCCAAUUUUUUGUAUUUUUAGUAGAGACAGGGUUUCACUUUGUUAGCCAGGAUGGGAGCUCGUAAUCCGCCCACCUCGGCCUCCCAAAGCUGGGAUUACAGGCGUGAGCCACUGUGCCUGGCCUACUAUGCUGUAUUCUUAUAGUUAACAGCAUGCUCUUUGAUAAUAUCUCAUUGGAAAUAUUUAUGCUCUGAAACAUUAUUUUUUGAAUUGUUAAAUAUAAAUCAUUUAUACAGCAAUACUUUAUGGGAGAAGCAUAUGCUGAAUUUUAAUGGUGUUUACUUUGCAAUCCAAAAUUGUGAAUACAUACAUGUAAAACUAUGAAAUUGCUAAUUAAAUAUUUCCAUCUAUC